Molecule: ribosomal RNA, 336 nt
Filed under: uncultured bacterium
Lineage: Bacteria
Description: bacterial SSU rRNA
Rfam family: Archaeal small subunit ribosomal RNA
Source: RNAcentral
AGUGAAUAGAUACCCAGGUAGUCCCAGCUGUAAACGAUGCGCGUUAGGUGUAUCGGUGACCACGAGUCAUCGAGGUGCCGAAGGGAAACCGUGAAACGUGCCGCCUGGGAAGUACGGUCGCAAGGCUGAAACUUAAAGGAAUUGGCGGGGGAGCACCACAACGGUGGAGCCUGCGGUUUAAUUGGACUCAACGCCGGGCAGCUCACCGGAUAAGACAGCUGGAUGAUAGCCGGGCUGAAGACUCUGCUUGACUAGCUGAGAGGAGGUGCAUGGCCGUCGUCAGUUCGUACUGUGAAGCAUCCUGUUAAGUCAGGCAACGAGCGAGACCCACGCCAA